UACAGAGGUGGCAAGCGUUGUUCGGAAUUACUGGGCGUAAAGGGCGCGUAGGCGGCCUUGUAAGUCUUGUGUGAAAUCCCUCGGCUUAACUGAGGAACUGCACGAGAUACUGCGAGACUUGAGUUCGGGAGAGGAAAGCGGAAUUCCGGGUGUAGCGGUGAAAUGCGUAGAUAUCCGGAGGAACACCGGUGGCGAAGGCGGCUUUCUGGACCGACACUGACGCUGAGGCGCGAAAGCUAGGGGAGCAAACGGG
RNAcentral lists this ribosomal RNA (253 nucleotides) under uncultured bacterium. Its description in RNAcentral is "partial 16S ribosomal RNA". It matches the Rfam family "Bacterial small subunit ribosomal RNA", at positions 524 to 776 of the family's 1533-position model. The record is from RNAcentral.